Thalictrum thalictroides is the source of this 139-nucleotide non-coding RNA. The record is from the annotation of a GenBank genome assembly. NCBI's taxonomy places the organism in Eukaryota, Viridiplantae, Streptophyta, Magnoliopsida, Ranunculales, Ranunculaceae.
UAUCUGAUACGUGGGCCAUAGGUUCACAUGAUAUUAAAUUAAUUUUUUACAAAGGGAGGGUCCAUCACUAUAGCUUGCUAUUGGGACCUUCAUGAGUAGCCCAUGCGUUGCACUACUGCAAGGGCCUGGCUCACCCCAC